Salmo salar (Atlantic salmon) is the source of this 1744-nucleotide non-coding RNA. NCBI's taxonomy places the organism in Eukaryota, Metazoa, Chordata, Actinopteri, Salmoniformes, Salmonidae. The record is from RefSeq and is a predicted model, not a curated record.
GUCCACAAAAUGUAGUUUGGAUUUGGAUUGGAGAGAGCGAUAGUACAGGGAACCAUCAAUACAAAUAUGUACGGUAGGCCUACUAGUGAUCAACAUUAGCAGCAGCACAAAAGUAUAGCAAGCCAAUUUGCCUAAUAAGUAAAGUGCUCUGUGCAUUCCUAGAUCAUCUCGUCAACAACAUAUCAACAAUGUGCUGAAAAAAAAUACAAAAAACAUCACCAACAACAUAUUAACAUCAUUUACAUUUUGUAAUUUAGCAGACGAUCUUAUCGAGAGCUACAUACAGGAGCACUAAAGGUUAAGCGCCUUGAUCAAGGGCAAAUCAACAGGACCCUGUUUCAGAAAGGGGGUUUAGUGAAAAUUCAAGAGUUAGUUGACUCUGAGUUGAAGGAAACUCUGGGUUUUCGGUUUCACAAAGCCAGUUCAGUAACUAUGGCAACAUACUCCGUGAAGAAAACCUGCUCGCUAGUAGAUUUUCUUAAACUAACCCUGGCUGAGUUUCUCCUCCUCUUUAGCUGAAGCCUGCAGACUGAAGGAGGUGUCAGACAUGUCGUGUCUUUUUCUUGAAGAGCCAGUUGAUAUUGCACAAAAACUCAGCAAAAAUCUCCGUCGGGAGAAGGUGAUCAGACCCCGCUUGGGUGUUUUAGCAUUCCCUGAUUAUCUGUUUGAGCGUUUCCGUUUUUUCUGCACAAUCGAUCAUUCAUCUGAACAAUAUUCUCAUAUCGUUCAUAUGACACAUCGUGGACAUGUUCUCAGUUCAGAAGAAAUUCUUUGUGUUGCACUUCGUUUUUUGCCAAAGGGAGUUUUCUAUAUAACAUCAGUGACGCUGGGCAUAUUUCCAAGGCAACUGUCUGUCAGAAAUGUGACUCUUGCAGUGAAACGUUUACUGUACACUUUUGUGGUGUUUCCUAGUCACAGACCCAUCAAAGAAGAAUUCCACAUAAUUGUAGGUAUCAGUCUAAGCAAUAAUUUAUUUAGUAUGACGCUUUGAGACAAGAAGCGAAGCACUAAUCAGUUAAUUUGAUAUAUUUUAGGGUUUCCAGGUGUGAUUGGCUGCAUUGAUGGCACUCAUAUUCCUAUCACUGCUCCUUCAGUAAAUGAAGGAGAUUAUGUGAAUAGGAUGUCUUUCCACAGCAUUAAUGUGCAGGUAGGCCUAAAUAGUAGCCUUUAGCAUUCCAAAUGAAAGAUAGCUGCACUAGAUGUGUUGUGAAGUAAUUACUGUUCUGCAUGGGGAAGAUCAUAUGUGAUGCUGCCCACAUCAUCAGCAACGUGGAAGCAAAGUGGCCUGGGUCUGUGCAUGACUCGUGAAUUUUUCAUGAGUGUACACUGAGCGCUAGCUUUGCCCGUGGAGCGUUCGAUAGUUACCUGCUCGGUGACAGAGGGUACCCCUGCCAGCCCUAUUUGCUGACCCUGAGCCCGGCCCGCAGCAACGUUAUAACUUGGCUCACUGCAGGACACGAGCCAGGGUAGAGAUGACCAUUGGGAUGCUCAAGGCCCAGUUCCAGUGCCUUUGUAGGCUCAGGGUCACCCCAGAAAGGGCAUGUGACAUUAUUGUGGCAUGUGUGAUUCUCCACAACAUUGCCACAAUUAGAGAACAAUGUCCUACUCAACCAGUGAACGAUCCUGACCACCCCGCUGACCCAGGAGUUGGAAGAGCAGUCAAUGACACAAUAUGCUUCCAUCAUUUCUGAUUGACCCAUCACCUCCCCAGUGUCAAAUAAAGACAAUAUGCCUUUCUUUUUUA